Molecule: long non-coding RNA, 3672 nt
Organism: Gallus gallus (chicken)
Lineage: Eukaryota; Metazoa; Chordata; Aves; Galliformes; Phasianidae
Source: Ensembl
ACUUCUUGAACUGGAUCAGAUCAUAGGUGCUAAUACAACUGUAAAUCCUCCCCCUGGAUUAAAACUUAAAGUGCAUUUCUGCCUGGACGUGGGACUUGGGAACAGAAAAUCCAGAAUCAGGAGCAUCUGGAUGGAAGAUGAACUAACUUCUGUUGAUCAGGUAAUGUAUUUUUUCCCACGUCCAAGGCAUCACUGACAAGGAAUUGCUAAAAAAAAAAAAAAAAAGGCAUUUCUUCUCACACUUCUAUUAUGGGAGGGAUUAUUUUCACUUGACAGGGCUGAAUAACACAGUAUGAGUUCAAAACAUCUAGUAAGAGAGUCAAAGGAAAAGGAGUCCCAGAGCACUACUGAAGGCUUAACUCUACUUACAGGAUGCUGACUGAGAACAAACAAGUGACGUGUAGAAAUGCAAGACUUUUUAUGUCCUCUCCCAGGACCGUACUCCUCAGGAAAAGAAUUUGUUUAUGCUCUCAGGGUACAUCUGAAUUCAAAACAUGAAGAAAAUCAAGAUUUACUUAGGAGAUGCUGCAUGCAUGAGAUAUGUGUGAAGACAUAAAUAACCCAAAAAAGAAGAAGAAAACUGAUGAACCCAAAAAAGAAGAAGGAACACACUGAAGAAAACAGUGCUUGUGUAAUGAUAGCACUUAGCUUUCCUGGCUUCCUGGGACAGAAUUUAACUAGAUUUUCAACCUGUAUUUAUAUUUCAUUCAGUGCUGGCUCAACAUUGCUAAAUCUGUAGCUAUAUUCACAUAUUUUGCCAUUAUGUUUUACAGCCUGUAUGAAAGUAAUCAUAUGGGGUGGUUUUUUUUGUUUUGUUUUUUUUUUAUGUUUCACACCUUGGUACUCAUUGUAACUAAAGGGUGAAAACAUGGGAAAAAAACUCAGAAGAAUUUUUACUUUUAUUUCUUUUUUAAGAAACUAAUAUGGCUGUCUGAUUCAUUUUGUAAUUUGUUGUAAUUGAGUAGUGACCAUCUGAACUGACUGAACUUACUCUAGGGUAUAACACCCCAGAACUUAAAGAACAUCCCAGUGUCAGCAUUCUGCCUUGCUACUGCGAGCAUUGCUUUAUAUCUGACCUUUUCUUCUGCAUUCUCCUAGAGUAUUCAUUCACAAACAUCUUAGGCAAUCUUCCUCUUCAUUAUCACUUUUUCACACUGUUUAUUAUUUGAAAUAGCCUGAAGAUAUUUUGGCAAAAAGAGCAUGGCUGUGUUUGUCUGUUCCCAGAAAUGUAAACGACUUUAGCUCCCUGGCUCUGAGCAAGUACACUUGCCUGUAGCAUUUCUAAGUCCCAGCAUUCAUGCACAAAGUUUUGUCAGGUUGAGCUAUUCAAUUCAAGCGAGAUUAAAAUACACACUCAAAAAAACAAAUCUCAUCCCAUAUCGGCAAUGAUCAGCUUGAUUGAGCAUAUUACAAGUUUCUUCAUUUUCAAUUCAGUAAGAGCCAAUUAUUUUUAAUCUACUGAAUUGGAAAUCACCUCACAUACUAACAAGUCUUCUGAUCCCCUGACUUAUAAACAGCUUUACUUAUCUUCUAACAUCAUUCUGUGUGAAGUUACACAGGUUCUUUGUACUGGUGGACAUUUUUAUUUCAGAUCUAUACUUUAUUUAUUUAUACUUUAUUUAUAAGGAUAUAUACUUGAAAAAUAAUGAACUGAUUCAAUAUUCUGUGCUUUGCUUGCUUGACACAGGUUAAGAACUUUACUUGCAUAAAUUUUCAUAGAAGAUUACAAAGAAGAAGUGAAAAAUAUAAUGACAAGAAAUAUACAUAUGCAUUAUCAUAUAUUAUCCUGGGAUUUAAUUUAUUAUGAAAUCUGUUAUCCAUGUGAUAGCUAUUUCAGUGUAAAUAUUUAUGUGUGGGAGAGGAGAGAAACUACAUCUGCUCAGAAAAUUCACAUUCGUCUCCUGACUACUUUUUCUUAGAUAUUUUCUUUGCUCUUAUCUCUUGCACUGAUUUUACACGCUUGAAGAAGAAAGUUAGGCAGAGCUUUUACAGUGGCUGGUAAAAUUCCUGAAAUGAACUUACAAAAGGAACUUACAGUGGAAGAACAUCACUGAAAGAGUUCUUACAAAGGCAAGUUGAAAGUACAAAGAGUACUUCUGUUCAGUAAUUACAAUUUCAAAAAGAAGAUCCUUAACUAGAUUUAUACUGAAUAAAAAAAAAAAAUCAUGUUAUCUUUAACUUUUUUUUAAUUCACUGCUGCCAGUUGAAAAGGGAAGAAGAGAGAACAAAAAUAUUGAUUUAAGCCUUUGCUGGAUCUCAUCUUAGAAAAAAAAAAAAUUAUUAGUCAAUUUUAAUACACCCUUUAAGAACAGUUUGCCUACUUGCUUCUAAAACAUAAAGAGAUCAGAAAAGGUAUGUACGUAACAGAUUUUGGGUGGUUUGAAUCAAAUUCCAAAAUUAAGCUUACAGUUGCACAUUGAAGAUCUGAUUAAUAACUUUACUUAUAUCCUGAACACAUAACAAAUCUUGUUUAUAUAGGCAGUGCACGCAUGCUCCAGGAAAAAAAUUAAUAAUAAUAAUCAAAAAGACAUAUUCCUUAAUAAAAAUUUAGGCUUGCCAUUACAGAAAAGAGUGCAUUACUUCUUUAGAAUGUACUUCUUAGAACUUCUUAGAAUGCAGUGUUUCUGUUGUGUCAAAGUUUCUGCCAGCAUUUCCUCUGCUGCUUUUUCUGUGUCUGCCUCUGUUACUGCUGUUCUCUGGGACCUCACAGUGUGUACAAGGCAGAGCCUGACUCUGAUAGGGUACUAAUAGCCUGAUUUCAGAUCUCAAGAGAGUGGAAGGCUUUUGGAAAAGGUCACUAGAAGUUUUCAAAUGUUACCAAUUAAUGUGUUUGGUGGAUUGUGCUGAGGAGUAUGGAAUAUGGAUGGAAAUCCCAUAUCUUGUGAGUUCACCUCUGCAGACGCGGUGGUCACUCAAAGUGACACAAACAGUUGCAAGCUGCCAAGAGUUUAGAGGCUGGCAACUGUGCUUUUUUCUUCAAUAAAAAAUUAACAUAUUGUCUACCCUAUUUGUCCAGUUCGUGAUGUUUUAGGGCUGUUACUAUGCGUCUAAUGUUUUAAACUAUGUUCCCAAGAUAAUAUUCCUUCUUACCAUCAAAAUUUUUACUUUCAUAGGUACAUGAAUUUUCGAAUUAUCUUAACUGUUUAAUAAUUUCUGAAAUAAUUGUGUCUUGACAAAGAUCAAAUCUUCUAAACAAGACACUUUUGCAAAUGAUGUCACAACAUGGUCAUCUAAAUUAUCUGUCUUCUUUACUGGAAUUUUUCAUGAGGGUAUGAAACUCUAUAGCAAUGUUAUAAUUAAUUUUCUAUGAUGGUACUGAAUUUAAUCUCUGGAAUUUUGUUUUUCCAUUUGCUUCUGUGAGGUUUUUUUACAUGUUUUUAAUAAUCAAAACCAUAAGUUAUAGUAAAAAUGUUAGGAAUUGAAGAUUUAUGUUGCAUUCUUUAAAAUAAAAUCCCCUUGAAUAAUGUGUGAAGUUACCAGCAAGAUAAUUAGUGUAUUUUCUUCUUUUCAUUUUUCACUUUCCCCUUUCUGGAUUAAUUCACCUCUUGCUCUUUGAAGAUGGAUAGAGAACUACAGGAAUUCUUGCUUUUUGUUUUUUGCUUGUUUGUUUGUUGUUUUGUUGGUUGGUUGGUUGGUGGGUUUUUUGUUUUGUUUUUUCAAAAUAAAUUACUG